GCGGGGGCACGGGGGGCCUACGGGAGGCAGCAGUCGGGAAUUUUGGGCAAUGGGCGAAAGCCUGACCCAGCAACGCCGCGUGAAGGAUGAAAUCCCUCGGGAUGUAAACUUCGCAAGAUUGGGAAGAAUUAGUAGGGGUUAAUACCCCCUAUGAUGACGGUACCUUUUGUAAAGCUCCGCCUAACUCCGUGCCA
RNAcentral lists this ribosomal RNA (194 nucleotides) under uncultured bacterium. RNAcentral describes it as "partial 16S ribosomal RNA". It matches the Rfam family "Bacterial small subunit ribosomal RNA", at positions 318 to 510 of the family's 1533-position model. The record is from RNAcentral.